This 497-nucleotide ribosomal RNA is filed under the name uncultured bacterium. Its description in RNAcentral is "partial 16S ribosomal RNA". It matches the Rfam family "Bacterial small subunit ribosomal RNA", at positions 28 to 507 of the family's 1533-position model. The record is from RNAcentral.
GAUGAACGCUGGCGGCGUGCCUAAUACAUGCAAGUCGAGCGAACGGACGAGAAUCUUGCUUCUCUGAUGUUAGCGGCGGACGGGUGAGUAACACGUGUAUAACCUACCUAUAAGACUGGGAUAACUUCGGGAAACCGGAUCUAAUACCGGAUGAUAUUUUGAACCGCAUGGUUCAUAAGUGAAAGACGGUCUUGCUGUCACUAAUAGAUGGAUCCGCGCUGCAUUAGCUAGUUGGUAAGGUAACGGCUUACCAAGGCAACGAUGCAUAGCCGAUCGGAGAGGGGGAGAGGGCACAAUGGAACUGGAAACCGGUCCCGGGUCCUAAGGGAGGGAGCAGGGGGGGAAUGUGGCGAAUGGGGGGAAAGCUGGACGAGGCAUGGCGGGGGUGGGAAGGAAGGUUUUGGGGUGGAAAGAACUUUUUAUUGGGGGAAACCGCAGUUGUAAGAAACGUUGCGGUUUUGACGGUAACCAAAAAAGAAGCACCGGCUAACUACGGG